GGGAUAGGGCCUCGCUGCCUUGCCCGUCUGGCGCCAUAUUCACCCAUGUCUUUUUGCGUACUACUUGUUUCCUUGGCGGGUCCGCCCGCCAAUUGGACCUUAUUCAAACCUUUUUUUCAGUUGCAAUCAGCGUCAGCAAAACAAAUGUAAUCAAUUACAACUUUCAACAACGGAUCUCUUGGUUCUGGCAUCGAUGAAGAACGCAGCGAAAUGCGAUAAGUAGUGUGAAUUGCAGAAUUCAGUGAAUCAUCGAAUCUUUGAACGCACAUUGCGCCCUUUGGUAUUCCAAAGGGCAUGCCUGUUCGAGCGUCAUUUGUACCCUCAAGCUUUGCUUGGUGUUGGGCGUCUUGUCUCUCUCCCGAGACUCGCCUUAAAAUCAUUGGCAGCCGGCCUACUGGUUUCGGAGCGCAGCACAUUAUUUGCGCUCUUGUCCAGCCGCGGUCGCGCGUCCAUGAAGCUUCUUUCAACCUUUUGACCUCGGAUCAGG
RNAcentral lists this ribosomal RNA (487 nucleotides) under Pyrenophora tritici-repentis. Its description in RNAcentral is "eukaryotic LSU rRNA". The stretch from base 159 to 312 matches the Rfam family "5.8S ribosomal RNA". Lineage: Eukaryota; Fungi; Ascomycota; Dothideomycetes; Pleosporales; Pleosporaceae. The record is from RNAcentral.